Molecule: ribosomal RNA, 443 nt
Filed under: uncultured bacterium
Lineage: Bacteria
Description: partial 16S ribosomal RNA
Rfam family: Bacterial small subunit ribosomal RNA
Source: RNAcentral
CCUACGGGCGGCAGCAGUGGGGAAUAUUGGGCAAUGGAGGCAACUCUGACCCAGCAACGCCGCGUGUAUGCUGAAGGUCUUCGGAUUGUAAACUUCUUUUCUAGGGGAAGAAGAAAGUGACGGUACCUUAGGAAUAAGCUUCGGCUAAAUACGUGCCAGCCGCCGCGGUAAUACGUAGGAGGCAAGCGUGAUCCGGAAGGACUGGGCGUAAAGGUUGCGUAGGUGGUUUGACAAGUUGGUAGCGUAACGCCGGAGCUGAACUUCGGAACUACUACCAAAACUGUUGGACUCGAGUGCAGGAGGGGCAACUGGAAUUUCUAGGGUAGCGGUGGAAUGCGUAGAUAUGAGGAAGAACACCAGUGGCGAAGGCGGCCGGCUGGAAGACAACUGACGGUGAGGCGCGAAAGCGUGGGGAGCAAACAGGAUGAGAUACCCGUGUAGUC